RNAcentral lists this ribosomal RNA (460 nucleotides) under uncultured bacterium. RNAcentral's name for it is "partial 16S ribosomal RNA". It matches the Rfam family "Bacterial small subunit ribosomal RNA", at positions 338 to 795 of the family's 1533-position model. The record is from RNAcentral.
CCUACGGGUGGCUGCAGUGAGGAAUAUUGGUCAAUGGACGCAAGUCUGAACCAGCCAUGCCGCGUGCAGGAAGACGGCUCUAUGAGUUGUAAACUGCUUUUGUACGGGGGUAAACGCAGAUACGUGUAUCUGUCUGAAUGUAUCGUACGAAUAAGGAUCGGCUAACUCCGUGCCAGCAGCCGCGGUAAUACGGAGGAUUCAAGCGUUAUCCGGAUUUAUUGGGUUUAAAGGGUGCGUAGGCGGUCGUAUAAGUUAGAGGUGAAAGCCCGAGGCUCAACGUUGGAAUUGCCGUUGAUACUGGGCGGCUAGAGUAUAUUUGCGGUAGGCGGAAUGCGUGGUGUAGCGGUGAAAUGCUUAGAGAUCACGCAGAACCCCGAUUGCGAAGGCAGCUUACCAAGCCACUACUGACGCUGAUGCACGAAAGCGUGGGGAGCAAACAGGAUUAGAUACCCUUGUAGUC